AUGACCUUACUCUGCAACACUGGGAUGUCUUGCUUUUGGGAAAUUUCCUGCGCUGGGUUCCCUCCCCUGGCCACCAGCCUCCCGUCCUGUCCUGUGGUUAUCUUGGGGCUUCCCAAAAAAUCUAGGAGUGAAAACAAAAUGGAUGCAUCUGUAGAGAAUCAAAGAAAAAUUAGAAGGAAACAAAAAUAUUUUGUGGCAACAAGGCAGGAAUAA
Molecule: long non-coding RNA, 213 nt
Organism: Ictidomys tridecemlineatus (thirteen-lined ground squirrel)
Lineage: Eukaryota; Metazoa; Chordata; Mammalia; Rodentia; Sciuridae
Source: Ensembl